RNAcentral lists this ribosomal RNA (438 nucleotides) under Kolla lunulata. RNAcentral's name for it is "partial large subunit ribosomal RNA". The record is from RNAcentral. Lineage: Eukaryota; Metazoa; Arthropoda; Insecta; Hemiptera; Cicadellidae.
UUCUGCCCUAUGAUUAUUUAAAUGGCUGCAGUAUUUUGACUGUGCAAAGGUAGCAUAAUAAUUAGUCAUUUAAUUGUUGACUUGUAUGAAUGAUUAAAUGAGGAAUAAUUUUUAUUAAUUUAAUUUUUAAAAUUUUAUUUUUAGGUAAAAAAGCUUAAUUUAUUUUUAGGGACGAAAAGACCCUAUAGAACUUUAUUAGUAUUUUUAUAAUUUUAUUUUUGUUUUUAGUUUUUUAUUAUAAUAAUAUUUUUUUGAUUGGGGGGGUAAAUAAAUUUAACUUUAUUUUUUUUUUUCAUUAUUUUAUGAUUUUUUUGUUCCUAAUUUUUAGAUUAAAAGUUUUAGUUACCUUAGGGAUAACAGCGUAAUUUUAAUGGAAAGUUCAUAUUUAUAUUAAAGUUUGCGACCUCGAUGUUGAAUUAAGUUAAUAAAGGGGGGUAG